This 569-nucleotide ribosomal RNA is filed under the name uncultured Pseudoalteromonas sp. RNAcentral describes it as "bacterial SSU rRNA". It matches the Rfam family "Bacterial small subunit ribosomal RNA", at positions 8 to 573 of the family's 1533-position model. The record is from RNAcentral. Lineage: Bacteria; Pseudomonadati; Pseudomonadota; Gammaproteobacteria; Alteromonadales; Pseudoalteromonadaceae.
AGAGUUUGAUCCUGGCUCAGAUUGAACGCUGGCGGCAGGCCUAACACAUGCAAGUCGAGCGGUAACAUUUCUAGCUUGCUAGAAGAUGACGAGCGGCGGACGGGUGAGUAAUGCUUGGGAACAUGCCUUGAGGUGGGGGACAACAGUUGGAAACGACUGCUAAUACCGCAUAAUGUCUAACGGACCAAAGGGGGCUUCGGCUCUCGCCUUUAGAUUGGCCCAAGUGGGAUUAGCUAGUUGGUGAGGUAAUGGCUCACCAAGGCGACGAUCCCUAGCUGGUUUGAGAGGAUGAUCAGCCACACUGGGACUGAGACACGGCCCAGACUCCUACGGGAGGCAGCAGUGGGGAAUAUUGCACAAUGGGCGCAAGCCUGAUGCAGCCAUGCCGCGUGUGUGAAGAAGGCCUUCGGGUUGUAAAGCACUUUCAGUCAGGAGGAAAGGUUAGUAGUUAAUACCUGCUAGCUGUGACGUUACUGACAGAAGAAGCACCGGCUAACUCCGUGCCAGCAGCCGCGGUAAUACGGAGGGUGCGAGCGUUAAUCGGAAUUACUGGGCGUAAAGCGUACGCA